AUUUGUCUCUUCAAUUCAGUCACCUCUCGAGCUUGAUUUUGCACUUCCUUGGCGUAAUUGUGCAUAUCUUUGGCUUGAUUUUCUUGACCCUUAAACAACGUAGUUAGUAACUGAAUAACUUGAGCAUUAUCAAAAGACGAACCUAAGUUAUUUUGGGCAGGUUGUGUUUGGGGUUGUGCGGGUGCAUACGGCCUUUGAUAGAAUCCCGGAGGUUGCUGUCUGAAUGCACUUUGUUGUUGGGUUUGUUAGGGCUCCCUCCAUUUGAAAUUUGGAUGAUCUUUCCAGCCUGGAUUGUAUGUAUUCGAGAA
RNAcentral lists this long non-coding RNA (308 nucleotides) under Malus domestica (apple). RNAcentral describes it as "long non-coding RNA (MDOM_LNC006894)". The record is from RNAcentral. Lineage: Eukaryota; Viridiplantae; Streptophyta; Magnoliopsida; Rosales; Rosaceae.